This 214-nucleotide long non-coding RNA is filed under the name Homo sapiens (human). RNAcentral's name for it is "HSALNT0176943". Lineage: Eukaryota; Metazoa; Chordata; Mammalia; Primates; Hominidae. The record is from RNAcentral.
GAAGAUAAACACCAGAUCCUCCUUCUUGCUCUCCUUGGUCUCAUAGGUUGCAUCAUAGAGGGCAUAGCGGCAGUCCUUAUCUGGCAGCAUCUUGACAAAGGCAGAAGAGCACCGCCUUCUUGCGCUUCUUCACCUCCUCUGGCGUUGAAGACUUACGCACCUUCAUGUCGUUGAACACCUUGAUGACACCAUCAGAGACAGCCACACCGGAGGC